This 227-nucleotide ribosomal RNA is filed under the name uncultured bacterium. RNAcentral's name for it is "partial 16S ribosomal RNA". It matches the Rfam family "Bacterial small subunit ribosomal RNA", at positions 103 to 334 of the family's 1533-position model. The record is from RNAcentral.
CGGGUGAGUAAUGUAUGGGGAUCUGCCUGAUGGCGGGGGAUAACUACUGGAAACGGUAGCUAAUACCGCAUAAUGCUACGGACCAAAGCGGGGGACCUCCGGGCCUCGCGCCAUCAGAUGAACCCAUAUGGGAUUAGCUAGUAGGUGAGGUAACGGCUUACCUAGGCGACGAUCCCUAGCUGGUCUGAGAGGAUGAUCAGCCACACUGGGACUGAGACACGGCCCAG